RNAcentral lists this ribosomal RNA (615 nucleotides) under Triticum aestivum (bread wheat). Its description in RNAcentral is "partial small subunit ribosomal RNA". The record is from RNAcentral. Lineage: Eukaryota; Viridiplantae; Streptophyta; Magnoliopsida; Poales; Poaceae.
AUGGAAUGCCAAAGUGAAGUGAGCAAGGCUCCUUUUUUGGCUAUUUGUGAUAUCCAGUCUGAUGCAGAAUCAGCCGUCCACACUAGGCCAACUCUGGACAUUGGGUUUACUACACCACAGAAAUCUUAUAGUGCACCUUUCUGUGGCUCAUAUUGUACUCCAGAGUGUGAUGAUGCCAUCAGACUAGCCAUAGGGAUGACUUUUGCUGAUUUGAACGCAGCCAAGGAGUUCUAUGAAGCUUAUGCACAUCAUGUUGGUUUUUCAGUACGUGUGGGGCACCAAAAGACUGUCAAUGGUGUCGUUACUCACAAGUGUUUCUGCUGUGACCGUGAAGGUUUCCGUGAAGAGCGGAAAGGUAAGGAAACUUUGGUAGCUAGCACUGGUAGUAAGAGGAGAUAUGAGAGGAAAAUCACUAGAUGUGGGUGUGAAGCUAAACUUGCGGUCAAACGCACGGUCGAGAAUAAGUACGUUGUGACACUUUUCACAAAGGAGCACACACACACACACUUGUAUCGCCCAGUAAAAAAUAAUUCAUUAGAUCAAACAGGAAAGUCAGCCAACAAGCAAAAACUACAUUAUGGAACUGUCAUAAAGCUAGCAUUGGCACAUCCCUAG